AUCCAGCUUUGUUGCAUUGCUCUGCAAAAAUACUCUGUUCCUAUCCCCUGUCUCUCGUCCACAUUGAUACAAAUCAUAAAUUGAUAAGGUACUAAGAUGUAGAAUGUCUCCAUCAAAUCCAAUAAGAGUGGGAGCUGAUCAAGGGGUCGAAAAUGUAGAUAUUGCCAGAUGUAUGUUCACUGUCCGAGGAACUGGCCGUGGAAGCUUAAUUGCUGGGUAAAGUGUCCAUAACCAGAGAUUCAGUAUGUGAAGGACCUGCUUUAUCAGGAGAAUCAUCUGGAAUCUGGAAACACUGACAAUGGGGUCACUGUUCCUGACAUCCCAUAUGCCCCCUGUCUACUGAGAAUCUUGAUGUGCUGCAACGUCAAGUGAACCCAACCACUGGACUUAUACAGCUCUGGAAAAAAUUAAGAGACCACUGCAAAAUGAUCAAUUUCUCUGGUUUUACUAUUUAUAGCUCUGUGUUUGGGUCCAAAUUUCACAGUGGGUGCGAGACACUGUGGCUUGUAGGCCCCUUGUAGGCCUCUCCAGGUGUCGUACCCACUGUGACAUUUGGUUGUCCUGGAAGAAAACUUGCUUCCUUCUGCGCUGACAAUGUUCCCCAACUCUGAGGAUUGUUUUUUCCAACAGGACAAUGCUUCACGCCACACAGCCAGGUCAAUCAAGGUGUGGAUGGAGGACCACCAG
This is a long non-coding RNA of Oncorhynchus kisutch (coho salmon), 687 nucleotides long. RefSeq lists it as uncharacterized. Lineage: Eukaryota; Metazoa; Chordata; Actinopteri; Salmoniformes; Salmonidae. The transcript is spliced from 3 exons. The record is from RefSeq and is a predicted model, not a curated record.